This 535-nucleotide ribosomal RNA is filed under the name bacterium enrichment culture clone Cont108_3132. Its description in RNAcentral is "bacterial SSU rRNA". It matches the Rfam family "Bacterial small subunit ribosomal RNA", at positions 8 to 525 of the family's 1533-position model. The record is from RNAcentral.
AGAGUUUGAUCAUGGCUCAGGACGAACGCUGGCGGCGUGCUUAACACAUGCAAGUCGAGCGAGAAAGCACCUUCGGGUGUGAGUACAGCGGCGAACGGGUGAGUAACACGUGGGCAACCUGCCUCAGAGACUGGGAUAACGUCCCGAAAGGGACGCUAAUACCGGAUGAUGCGCGACCUGCCAAGUGGGUCGCGCCAAAUGGUAGCUUCGGCUUUCUACUCGUGGGAUGGGCCCGCGCCGGAUUAGCUUGUUGGUGAGGUAACGGCUCACCAAGGCGACGAUCCRUAGCUGGUCUGAGAGGACGAUCAGCCACACUGGGACUGAGACACGGCCCAGACUCCUACGGGAGGCAGCAGUGGGGAAUCGUUGCGCAAGUGGGCGAAAGCCUGACGCAGCRACGCCGCGUGGGGGAAGAAGGCCUUAGGGUUGUAAACCUCUUUCAGGUGGGACGAAGCCACUCGGGUUAAUAGCCCAGAGGGUGACGGUACCGCCAGAAGAAGCCCCGGCUAACUACGUGCCAGCCGCCGCGGUAAUA